This 540-nucleotide ribosomal RNA is filed under the name uncultured Bacillota bacterium. Its description in RNAcentral is "bacterial SSU rRNA". It matches the Rfam family "Bacterial small subunit ribosomal RNA", at positions 142 to 694 of the family's 1533-position model. Lineage: Bacteria; Bacillati; Bacillota. The record is from RNAcentral.
GAUAACACCUGGAAACAAGUGCUAAUACCGCAUAAGACCACGACCCGACAUCGGGAUGAGGUCAAAGGAGCAAUCCGCUGAGGGAGGGGCUCGCGUUCCAUUAGAUAGAUGGCGGGGUAACGGCCCACCAUGUCGACGAUGGGUAGCCGAGCUGAGAGGCUGAUCGGCCACACUGGAACUGAGACACGGUCCAGACUCCUACGGGAGGCAGCAGUGGGGAAUAUUGGGCAAUGGGCGAAAGCCUGACCCAGCAACGCCGCGUGAGGGAAGAAGGCCUUCGGGUUGUAAACCUCUGUCCUUGGUGACGAAANAAAAUGACGGUAGCCAAAGAGGAAGCCCCGGCUAACUACGUGCCAGCAGCCGCGGUAAUACGUAGGGGGCGAGCGUUGUCCGGAAUUACUGGGCGUAAAGGGUGCGUAGGUGGCCUUUUAAGUUGGAUGUGAAAUCCCCGGGCUUAACUUGGGUGGUGCAUCUAAUACUGGAGGGCUAGAGUGCAGGAGAGGGAAGCGGAAUUCCUAGUGUAGCGGUGAAAUGCGUAGA